UGGUCCUCCAAAAGGAAAGACCCAAGAUACUGCAGCCAAAAAGUCUCAUGAGGCAGAUGAAUUCCUGAGAGAAACACAGAAGGAAGCACCCGGAGGACAAGUGAUGGACCAAAAGGCUGUUCAGAAGGAGGAACAGCCAGGGAGAAGCAGUGGCUCAUUGGCAGCCCCUGCUGCAGGAAGGAAGGCAAUGACAGACACGGGCACAGGCACAGCAGAUGCAGCCGGCACCACAAGACCUGUUCCCAAUGCCCAGGAUGGCCUCAGAAGGGGUUUCUGUCAGGGAACAGGCUGCUGGCUACUGUUACUGGCAAGUGUGCUUUGUUUGGGGCUUGUGUUCAUGUUGUACUGCUUUGGAAUCGGGUAUUCCUGGAAGAGAAAACAGUGAGUGUUUUGUUGCUCUCCCCCUCAAACAACAUGUUUUGGAAGUCUAAUUUGGACGGGGAACAUUCCCAUUGAGGCUGCAGUGGAGUUGUGGCCAGUCCAUGAUUGUCCAAACAACUCUGCUGAGGGUUCGGCUGCUGCCCAGUGCUUCCAUUGGCCUCUCAAUUGCUGGGCCUUGU
Molecule: long non-coding RNA, 560 nt
Organism: Passer domesticus (house sparrow)
Lineage: Eukaryota; Metazoa; Chordata; Aves; Passeriformes; Passeridae
Exons: 3
Source: RefSeq, a predicted model, not a curated record